This 184-nucleotide non-coding RNA is filed under the name Legionellales bacterium. RNAcentral describes it as "6S RNA". It matches the Rfam family "6S / SsrS RNA". From Rfam's summary of the family: E. coli 6S RNA was the first non coding RNA to be sequenced, but its function was unknown until recently. It consists of 184 nucleotides that fold into an extended hairpin structure with a large single-stranded internal bulge. The 6S RNA specifically associates with RNA polymerase holoenzyme containing the sigma70 specificity factor. The record is from RNAcentral. Lineage: Bacteria; Pseudomonadati; Pseudomonadota; Gammaproteobacteria; Legionellales.
GACUUUCUGGGAAAAACGGGCUUGGAGCCAUACACUUUGAGCCGAUGCUUGUAGACCGGGAGCCGUUAAUUCGAAGCUGUUGUGCAUGUCCAACUUGAUUGGAAAGCCUGAUGCCUCGCACCUGGCCCCCACUUGAACCAAAUAGGGUUCAAGGUCGAGGCUCCUCCUUUUUCCUGGGAAGCAC